This 393-nucleotide ribosomal RNA is filed under the name uncultured bacterium. RNAcentral's name for it is "partial 16S ribosomal RNA". It matches the Rfam family "Bacterial small subunit ribosomal RNA", at positions 523 to 918 of the family's 1533-position model. The record is from RNAcentral.
AUACGGAGGAUGCAAGCGUUAUCCGGAUUUAUUGGGUUUAAAGGGUGCGUAGGCGGUUUGCUAAGCGGGAGGUGAAAUGCCGGCGCUCAACGUCGGAAGUGCCUCCCGAACUGGUGGACUGGAAUGACUCUGCCGUGGGAGGAAUGGGUAGUGUAGCGGUGAAAUGCUUAGAGAUUACACAGAACACCGAUUGCGAAGGCAUCUCACGAAGGGUUGAUUGACGCUGAGGCACGAAAGCGUGGGGAUCAAACAGGAUUAGAUACCCUGGUAGUCCACGCAGUAAACGAUGAUGGCUAACCGCUGGUUUUUUCGGAUCAGUGGCCAAGCGAAAGCGAUAAGCCAUCCACCUGGGGAGUACGACCGCAAGGUUGAAACUCAAAUGAAUUGACGGGG